UGCGUCACUACAUAUGACCUGUGGUGGGCGAGCAUGCAAGCGACGAGAACACGGAACCAGAACGCACUGGAAGCUGGCUCGGCGACCACGGCCAGAGCCGAAAGCUCAGUUCAAGU
RNAcentral lists this long non-coding RNA (116 nucleotides) under Dermacentor andersoni. RNAcentral's name for it is "uncharacterized LOC126540185". The record is from RNAcentral. Lineage: Eukaryota; Metazoa; Arthropoda; Arachnida; Ixodida; Ixodidae.